AAAAUAGCUUGUGAGAGAGACCACGGUUGAUCUGUGGACAUGUUCAAACAGGGUGUGAAUGAGUUUAUUAGCAAAAAGCUGAAAAUAGCUAUGAGCUGGCUUUUGUCCCUCUUCACAGAGUUUGAAUACCAGGGAGUAGCAAAACUCAAAUGUUCUGCAUGCUGCUGCCUAAGUACCUUCAAGUGAUUUUAUCACACGCACUAUGACAUCUCUGUUAGUGUGGAUAUGCAAAGUUAAUGUGACUAAUACCCAAGCUGCUGAGAAGUCUUCAGCCAAAGCAGCGUGUAGCUUGCUUCUUUCUAAGAAUACUGAGGACCAACACUUAAUUCUGAAAAAUCUACUCCCAUUUAUUAAUGGAUGUGCAACUAAUUCCUUAAUAUAAGUAAAUUGCUGGUGAAACGUGCUGGGCUAGGAAGCUUGAAAUUGUCUCAGAAUGAGCAGUAUGGCUUCAUCCUUAUGUCAGGGAAUCAAAGGAUAAAUCCAGCUUUCCAGUGUGUGGAAGGGAGAAAUUAGGACUGGUUUUGAACUAUUGCAUGGUCUGACAUUCUGUAGAGUGGAAGUGAAUGGGAUUAAUGUCUGCUAUUCCUGAAAUACAGCCACUUCCGAGAUGAAAUACAGUAUGUAUUUCAUAGUUCAAAUGAGUACAAUCAGAUCUUCAGGAAAGGAAGUGGAGGGAAACUCCUCAGCUGAAACCACAGAGGGAAUUAACCAAAUUGGGAUGUGGAUAGAGCAUUGCAGCUCCUACUUAAAAUUAAAUGCUCUUUGGUUGUUUCUGAAGACCACAGUAACAUUAAUUACUGCCAUUAGAAAUUUUGCCAUUACCUCUUACAUAAAUACUUUCUUCCAAGAAUCUACAAAUCUCUUUAUAAAGGGGGUCUUAUCUUUAUCUCUGUUUUACAGGUGUGAAAAUGAGGAACAGAAAUUGAACAUCAUCCAAGAGUGGCAUAACUGGAAAUCAAAAUCCACAUCUGCUUCGUCAUGGAAAGCUUUACCUGCCAAUCAAGGAGUAGAAAUGCUGCCACGUGACUCUCACAGCCCGACACAAUCAUUCACUCAUCACACAAGGACUGACAGUGAGGCCAACAAUGCAUGCUGUGCUUUGGAUACAAAGAGCAGUGCAAUCAUACAAAUGUCAAAUGCCAAAGAGGAGCACGUGGAAGCAGUGAAAGGCUUGGAGUGAAAGUGAUGAACAGUAAGGAGAAACUGUCCAUCCAGGCCCCUUGCCUCUCUGCCCAAUCCCACACCUCUCCUGCUUGGACACACCACUCCUGAGCUGCCUUCUUCACUGAUCUCUGUGAGUUCGGCUUGCUCUGAAUCUUGGCCCUACCUUUCACUAUGGAGCAACCUGCCAGGGUCUGCCCAGCACCUUCUGUUCCCUGAGGCCCCCUGUCCUGGGAGGAAUGAGAGGCCACCACACCCUUCCAGUGAUUCACUGGGCAAUGAUUUCUUCAAUGCAUCUCCUGCCGGUAGGCAGUAAGGUCCUUGCGGUUAGCAAACUCUGCCUUUGUAGCUCUAAAAUAUUUAUAUGGUAUUAUUUAGCAGUCACUUUAUAUAGCAAACAAAAUGCAUAGAUCCGGGGUGUCACUGUGAUACAAGUAAGGGAACUCAUUACACAAAUGUGUAGGGUAAAAAAGCACAUUAUAACUGGCUGAUCUUUCAGUUCCAUAGGCUAUAGAGAGGGCAAAACCAGUAAAGGGCCUGGGGGGUUGUUCUUUGUGUUCAGGGCAGAAGUAAAGGCUCCUGGCUUUUUCCCUGCUCAACCAAAGAGACCUAUCUUGGUUUUCUGAAGCAGCAGUGGGUUCAAUGGUCAACCCUUGUGGUAUGUAAAGGAAAAAGCUGCCCACUGAGUACAUAUGAGUUAUGCAGUUAGGACCUCUCCUGACCCCACUGUAACAUAGCUGUUGGUAACAGGACUUGGGGAAACUGCUUCUCCGUGGAUGUAGCAAACAUCUUUCUGGGACACUAGGCCUUCUGUCUCAUCAGCAUCCUCAGUUCUGAGCAGCCUUGAGACGUGGCUGUUGUUGCAAGCCUUCUCCGUCUUUGCAGAUAAUCUGAACAGAGAGAGGGUCAGCAGCCACAGCGUUGCCACGUUUACUGGGCAAGAUUGCAUUUGAGUACAUGUGAACAUUAAUCACCCCUCGCUGCAUUCCUCUGGGUGCCUUUUCUUUUUCAAAUCAUUUCUUCAUCCACCAAAGUCAGCCUCCAAAUACUCGUUUGACUGCAAGCAUGCAGUAGUGCACAAAGUACUUUCGUUUGAGGGAGAAAAUGAGGCAAAGGACUUACUCUCUGCAGUCCUACAAGGUUCAUGUUCUAGUACAAAUGACCACGCAAGAUGCAGGGUGACAGGAAUCAAAACCAGAACUGAAGCAAUUUGCUUCAGGUCACACAGCUCAGUGAUGAAACACCACUGGAAUUGAAAUCUUUCUUCCCACAACUGUAUUUCUUCUUCUGGAACGUGAUUAGCUAGUAAAGCAGAAACUUUCUACUGUAAAUGUGGACCUUAAAGGAGUACUUAAAGUGAUUUAAGAAAUAGAUCUGGAAGAGGGAGAGCAACAGGACGUUUUAGAAUCCUCUGAUGUCAUUCUUCAUUAUUGUGUCUAUGGUGGUUUGGGCUGAGCUUAGUUAGUGCUUGCUCCAAGCUGAUGGUAGAAGAAGAUGACGACAAUUUCAAAUAGGUGUGGUGUCUUUUUUUUUUUUUUUUUUUUGGUGAAUUUCCAUGUUUAUUUGAGAUCGAGAAAUGUCAGAAGUUUCCUUUUUCACACAAAAGAGUUUGGGUACACUUUGAAUUGUACAUUUAAUGUCAUCUAAUAGAGAUGAAUCUUUUACACCUAUUCCCAGAAAAUUGGUAUAAAGUGAUAUGGGGGCUUGGUGGUGAUGGUGGUAAGGUAAUUAUUUUCAUUACUCAUUGAACUGCUCAGAAAUCAUCAGGAGCUGCUCAGACAGCAGCUCCUCAAAAUUCUGCUAUUCAAAAUUGUUCAGCCUUGUAACUUUCCUGAGGAAUGUUCUAAAUCCACCAUCACACACACACACACACACACACACACAAAUUAUCGUGAGGAAACAUAGCUCAGCCCAUGUGAGACAGGACAAGAAAGUGAAGCUUAGAGAGCCUGCAUGCCCAAAGGCACCUACAAAUAGAACAAAGAUCAGUUCUCUGAAUUCUGACUCCUGUUAUUUCUAUCUGACCUGAAAAUUUGCAAUGCUUUUCUUCUGAUUACAACAAAAGGAUUUUUUUUCUGCAGUGAGAAAAUCAGACAGCUCCAUAUUUUAAAAGACUAAUGCAAAAGGUCUGUGCUCUCAGAAACUUCAAUCAGUUGCCAUAUCAAUGAAUGGCAAUGGGGGAAGUGGGAAUAGCAUUAUAUUAACUAAUCUAAAAAUUGACACUAAGAGGAAAAGACCCAUGACAGACGAUUCAGAUAGUAACAAGUUAAAAACAUAUUUUGAACAACAAUUUGUUCUGAAGUUGCAGCAGACUCUGAAAGUCCAUAUCUGGCUGCUACAACACCAGGAACACAUACAGCCCCAGCUGGACGUAUCCCACCUCAGACCCAUCUAGACUUGGGCCCUUGAAGACAUCAAUAGGUAUAAAGAGAGAAUCUAUCACAAGCACAUGAAGAUGUUUUCAUGUCCUUUAAUAGCCCAUGCGAUUUUGCUUGAUUCCAGCCUUCACGAGAUAGUGUAUUUCUACAAAAAUACAAAUACAUGGUAUUUUCUAUCAACAGUCUCAACUUGAUUUAAUCACUUUCAAAGUUAAUUUAGCAGUAUGUGCUUAUUUGGUGCGCUUACUGAUUUAAAAACAGAAUCUUGGAACGGUAUUUUAAACCUGACUUUCCCAGCCUAGCUUUAAAACAUGCCUUCAAGACAUGACAGCAGUGCACCAAAGCUGCUUUGCAGAAAUUCUAGGAUGUGAUUCAUUUGCAUUUUCGAAAACAACUGGGAAGAAAGAAUGAAACUACUCGGAGAGAGAAGUCUCAUUCUAUGCUAUCAUUAGUGCUGAGAAUAACAUACCAGGCAGAUGAAUGGAAUGUUAAUGACAACAGACUUAUGUAUGAAAUACUUUUGGGCUGGGAAACAUUAGAGAGAAUGACAGAGAAAUAAACACAUCAUUUCAAAUCCCCCA
This 4120-nucleotide long non-coding RNA is filed under the name Anas platyrhynchos platyrhynchos (common mallard). RNAcentral describes it as "lncRNA (ENSAPLG00000025624.1)". The record is from RNAcentral. Lineage: Eukaryota; Metazoa; Chordata; Aves; Anseriformes; Anatidae.